UGGCUCAGUUGGUAGAGCAUGGUGUUUACAACACCAGUGUUGUGGGUUCAAUUCCCAC
Salmo salar (Atlantic salmon) is the source of this 58-nucleotide non-coding RNA. The record is from Rfam. NCBI's taxonomy places the organism in Eukaryota, Metazoa, Chordata, Actinopteri, Salmoniformes, Salmonidae.